This 447-nucleotide ribosomal RNA is filed under the name uncultured bacterium. Its description in RNAcentral is "partial 16S ribosomal RNA". It matches the Rfam family "Bacterial small subunit ribosomal RNA", at positions 29 to 523 of the family's 1533-position model. The record is from RNAcentral.
AACGAACGCUGGCGGCAGGCUUAACACAUGCAAGUCGAACGCCCCGCAAGGGGAGUGGCAGACGGGUGAGUAACGCGUGGGAAUCUACCCAUCUCUACGGAACAACUCCGGGAAACUGGAGCUAAUACCGUAUACGCCCUACGGGGGAAAGAUUUAUCGGGGAUGGAUGAGCCCGCGUUGGAUUAGCUAGUUGGUGGGGUAAAGGCCUACCAAGGCGACGAUCCAUAGCUGGUCUGAGAGGAUGAUCAGCCACAUUGGGACUGAGACACGGCCCAAACUCCUACGGGAGGCAGCAGUGGGGAAUAUUGGACAAUGGGCGCAAGCCUGAUCCAGCCAUGCCGCGUGAGUGAUGAAGGUCUUAGGAUUGUAAAGCUCUUUCACCGAUGAAGAUAAUGACGGUAGUCGGAGAAGAAGCCCCGGCUAACUUCGUGCCAGCAGCCGCAGUAA